This is a long non-coding RNA of Ursus maritimus (polar bear), 2039 nucleotides long. Lineage: Eukaryota; Metazoa; Chordata; Mammalia; Carnivora; Ursidae. The record is from Ensembl.
GGAAAACCUUAAGUGAUUUUACCUUAACAUUUUGGAACCUUACUCUCUUUUACCAGAUUUUAAAAAUUCAGGCCUCCUUGCAAAAAUGCGAACACACUUCUACUUCUUGAUGGGUUGUAACAAAAGCAGAAGACUUAAUAAUUCUUUGUAUGAAAAGAUGAAAUCUGAGCACAGUUCACACAUUUGCCAAUGAUUCUUCUCUCUUGCAUGUUAUCUAUGAAUCAUCUGACACGAAACAGCUGGAGGGCCUCUCUGCUCUAAGGACGGGGUGGCCUGGCCAGGAACUGCACCCCAGCUUGUGGUCUAGUCUCUGACAGCAUUUACAUAAUACUUCUUGCAGCUAACUAAGCCUGCAGAGUGACUACCCCUCCCCUCCUGCACGCCCUGGAAUGGCCAUACUUGAGGCUGGCCCUGGCCUCAGCAGGGAGCACAGGUCUCCUGGCCGCGGACCACACCCACACAUAGGACAUUUCCGCGUCGUCAGCAGAGCUGCUGAGAGAAGUCAAGUCACACUACUGGACACUUCAUGGAUACCCAUCACAGCCUUCAUGCUCUUUGGGAAAAUCAUAAAAACAGGCCAGGACAGAGCAUGUGUGACAUAGAAGGAACCACGGCAACACCUAGUUCAACUUCCCCAUCUCGGAGAUGAGGAAGUGGAAAUUCUGAGCAAUGAAAGGACUCAUCCAAGGUUCUAAACCUUAGAACUUUCUUUUUUUUUUUUUAAGAUUUUAUUUAUUAGAGAGAGAGAGAGAGUGAAUGAGAGAGAGAGAGAGAGAGCACAAGCAGGUGGAGGGGCAGAGGGAGAGGGAGAAGCAGACUCCCCGCUGAGCAAGGAGCCCGAUGCAGGACUCCAUCUCAGGACCCUGGGAUCAUGACCUGAGCCCAAGGCAGAUGCUUAACUGACUGAACCACCCAGGAGCCCCUAAACCUUAGAGCUUUCAGUUAAAAACCUCUCUUGGAACUCCUGAAAUGGGACAGGGCAAGGUCUGCUCUGUAGCUUCUGCUUGUCUUUAGCCUGGGCAGAAACUGGUGGGGCUGCCUGAACUGAGUGUCCAUGGUCCAAUAGCCCUUAGUCUAGACAGAGGCUUCCUAUUCUUCCCCAACCCCUCCCUUGUCCAGUGGCCUGACAGAAGCCCCAGGACUCUGUAUCCAGAACCUAUGCUAUUGGGUCAAUGGCCUAGUUUGGAACCUAAUGAGACAUUAGUUUCAUCUUCACCAAAUUUCCCCCUUUUCUCUCCUUUUACUGUCUUGUAGGCUGGAGGGUGAUGUCUGUCUCUCUACUGCCCUGCACAUCCCUUGAGGGCCUCCUGGAACCCGGUUAUACAGCAGUUAUGAUUGUGGGUGGUGAAGUUAAACGGUCCAGGGUUUGAAUUCUGACUUAGCAUCUCCCUGGCUUGUGUGAUUGGCGUGAGUGACUUAAUGGAAAUCAUAGAACUUCCUUUAUAAGGUUACUGGGAAGACCCUUAACUAGUAUAGAGUUUGGCAUAUAAAAGCAUUCAGUAAAUAGUGCAUAUUAUUCUUGAAAAAGGUAUUCCAUUUACUUUGGAAAACCCUAUCCUCUGAUCUUUUUAACAUUUUCGUUGAGGUAAUUAACAUACAGUAUACACUAUAUGUAUUUAAAGUAUACAAUGUCAUAAGUUUUAACAUGUAUACACCUGUGAAAUCAUCCCCAUAAUCAACCUAGUUACCGUACCCGUACCUCCCAAAAUUUCCCUUGUAUCGUUUUGUAAUCCCUUUUCCUGUCCCCAGGCAAUCACUGUUUAUUCUCUGCCUCUACCGAUUAGCUUGCAUUUUCUAGAAUUUCAUGUAAAUGGAAUCAUACGGUAUGCACCCUUUUUUGGCUUCUUUCAUUCAGCAUUAUUUUGAGAUUCAUCCAUGUUGUUGAGCGGACCAGUUGCUCAGUUCUCUUCCAUUGUUGAGGGUAUCACUUGCUCAGUAGAUAGACCACAAUUAGUUAUCCAUUCACUUACCAAUGAGCAUUUGGGAUGUUUCUAGUUUUGAAGUAUUAGAAAUAAAACUUCUGUGAACAUUUGUGAACA